UACAGAGGUCUCAAGCGUUGUUCGGAUUCAUUGGGCGUAAAGGGCGCGUAGGCGGCGCGGCAAGUCGGGUGUGAAAUCUCGGAGCUUAACUCCGAAACUGCAUUCGAUACUGCCGUGCUUGAGGACUGGAGAGGAGACUGGAAUUUACGGUGUAGCGGUGAAAUGCGUAGAUAUCGUGAGGAAGACCAGUGGCGAAGGCGGGUCUCUGGACAGUUCCUGACGCUGAGGCACGAAGGCCAGGGGAGCAAACGGG
RNAcentral lists this ribosomal RNA (253 nucleotides) under uncultured bacterium. RNAcentral describes it as "partial 16S ribosomal RNA". It matches the Rfam family "Bacterial small subunit ribosomal RNA", at positions 524 to 776 of the family's 1533-position model. The record is from RNAcentral.